Molecule: non-coding RNA, 5397 nt
Organism: Triticum urartu
Lineage: Eukaryota; Viridiplantae; Streptophyta; Magnoliopsida; Poales; Poaceae
Source: RefSeq, a predicted model, not a curated record
UCUUAGCAUGGAACUCUGGGUCAAGCAAAAUGUUGCCUGACUUGAUGUCCCGAUGGAUAAUAGCAUCUCCCCACUCUUGGUGGAUGUAGUUGAGGCCCCUGGCCAUCAAUAGCGAUGGUCAACCUCCUCAGCUAGUACAAUGGUGCAAGGGCGCCCUUGCGGUAACGGUGGUGCAACCAGUCGUCGAGGCUGCCCUUCUCCAAGUGCUUAUAAACAAGCAGCUUGGCAUCUUAGCUGGAGAUUAUGCAGAGCAGCUUAGUGAUGUUCUUGUGAUUGAGCCCAAUGUCUUCACCUUCGAGCUGAGUUGUUUGUGGUCCGGAUUUCCCGUGUUGCAUAUCUUCUUGACAACCACUAUUUUGCUGUUGCGGUCCUUAGUGCCACCAUCAAGGCUAGGAGGUGGACACGGUACACCUUUCCAGACCGUCGCUGAUGAUAAAAUUAUCCUCAGAUAUGUUGUUGACCACGUCGGAUUUCAUGAAGUCCAGAGGUGUGAAUGGUGUCCUUUUCCAAUCAGUCACGACUUCUUUCACCACUUGUGUGUUCUUCCGGCGCCGGAAGUGCAGCCAUAUGAUGAUGCUCAUAGAAGUGAUGAUGACCGUGACAUUAAACACUAACAAGAUUAUCACACACUUCUGGAGGUGGGUGCCUCUGUGGCAUUUUGGCGGAUUUAUCCUCGAGUCCCGCUUGUCACAAAGCCCACGAUUUUCAUGGAAGUUGUGGUUGUACUUUGCACUUUGCAGAGAGAGGGACACGUCCCCAUUGAGCUGGUUAAAUGACAAAUUGAGGGACACAAUUGAAUGGUUGCCAAAGUCAGGCAGAAUUUUGCCUGUUAGCUCGUUGUUGGACAAAUCAAGGACUACCAGUGAUGAAAUUGUCUCAAUGCUCCAUGACGGUAUUGCACCUGAUAUAUGAUUGUUGCUAAGGUCAAGUGAUUUGAGAUUUUGCAACAAUUUAAUUGAUGUUGGUAUGGAUCCAGGUAUUUUGUUCCCACUUAGUGAAAAUUCAGAAAGCUUGUGGAGAUUGCUCAUGUUGACAGAUAGCUCUCCUGAGAGUUAGCUAUUAUGCACCAUCAACACCAAUAACCUAGUUCCAAACGUCGGGAUCGAGUCGGAGAAGUGGUUGUUUUGCAUCUCAAUUCGAGAGAUAUUCGAAGAUAUGUUUCGUCAUAGUGCUAGUGAAGUUGUGCGAUAUUAGCACUGUAUGCACCAAUAGCAACCACCAUAUAUUCAUCGGAAACUUCCCUGAGAAGUUGUUACCGAGCAUAAUAUUAUCCAGUGAGAGGUAGUUGCCAAUGCUUGCCGGAGAAACCGUUGUUAGAAUCUACUAUGUCGAAUAGUUUCCCAUGAGCGCAAAACUCCUCCAGUAGUGAGCUACACAAGUUUUUGUUGUAGACCUCAAUAUUUCCAAGCGGCGAGUCCUUCCCAAGUUCUUGUAGCACCUCACCCCGAGAGCAUAUUGUCGAAAAACUAGAUGUAUUGGAGGUUGGGAAUGAGGUCAGUGCUUCUAGGGAUGGGGCCUAUGAACUCAUUGUUGUAUAGGAUGAUAAUGGUUAGUUUCUUGAGAGUCCCAAAGUCUUCUGGUAUGCAGCCAGUGAGUUUGUUUGCCGACAAGUCUAUCUUAAUCAAAUUCACCAUAGUGAUGUUGCACGACAGCUCCUCGGUGAGUCCAUUGUCAUACAAGUACAAGAUCUCGAGCUUUUGGUGCUGCCAGAUCCAGACAUGGAUUGAACCACUAAGCUUGUUGCCCCAUGGGUCCAACAUGGUUAGUUCCUUUAGGCUUGAGAAUGCCUCUAGAAUCUCGUCGGUGAAGUCAUUCGUGUUGAGAAUCAGGUUCUGGAGUGCCGAAAGCUCGGCCAUCAGCAUUGGCAGAACUGCAAUAAAGUUGUUGUUAGUUAGGUUGAGGUGCUUCAUAGAUGGUGAUAACCGGCUGAUUUCUUGAGGAGGGAAUCCAUGGAAGCCAUUGUAGGAGAGAUCGAUCAAGGUAUCGAAGCCAGGACCGGGUGUAGAGCGUGAUGCCGGGGAAUCUCCCAGUGAACUUGUUGUAUGAAAAGUCAAGGUGGAUCGGGUACUUGAGGUUGCACAUAGAUGGAGGGAUGUUGCCGGUAAGAUUCAAAGGCUUGAAUGAAAGCCCCAUAAAUAGGCCUCCACCGCUUUCCACACAGCUGACUGGGCUGGUGUCAGCUGCGUGGCAGUAGGUGGAGGCCUAGUUACGGGGCUUUCCUUCAAGCAUUAGAAUUUUAUCAGGAACAUCCCUCCAUCUAUGUGCAACCUCAAGUACCUGAUCCACCUCGACGUUUCAUACAACAAGCUCACUGGGAGAUUCCCUGGCAUUACGUUCUACGCCUACUCCUGGCUACGGUACCAUGAUAUCUACUACAACAGCUUCCAUUGAGUGCUUCCUCAAGAUAUCAGCCGGCUAUCACCAUCUAUGAAGCAUCUCUACCUGACUAACAACAACUUUUGUGGUGUUUUGCCGACGGCGAUGGCCAAGCAUUAGGCACUUCAGAACCUACUUCUUGACACGAGUGGCUUAACCGGCGAGAUUCCAGAGGCAUUCUCAAGCCUAAAGGAACUAACCAUUUUGUACAUGUUGCACAGCAAGUCAGUGCUUCGAUCCUUGUUUGGAUCUGGCAGCACCAAAAGCUCGAGAUAUUAUACUUUUAUGAUAGUGGACUCAACAGGAAGUUGUCUUGCAGCAUCAUUGUGGUGAAUUUGAUUAAAAUAGACUUGUGGGCAAACAAACUCACUGGUUGCAUACCAUAAGACUUUGGGACUCUCAAUAGACUAACCAUUAUCAUCCUAUACAACAACGAGUUCCUAGGCCCCAUCCUCGGAAGCAUUGGCCUCAUUCCCAAACUCCAAUACAUCCAGUUGUUUGACAAUAUGAUCUCGAGUGAGGUACCACAACAACUUGGGAAGCACUUGUCGCUCAGAAAUUUUGAGGACCGCAACAACUUUUCUAGCUCACUACCGGAGCAGGUUAUGCGCCCAUGAGAAACUAUUCAACAUUGUAGUUUCUAACAACAUCUUCUCCAGUGAGCUCCCGAAGCAUUGGCAACUGCCUAUUGCUGGAUAACAUUAUGCUUGACAACAACGACUUCUCUGGGAAGUUUCUGGUGAAUAUAUGGUGGUUGCCAUUGGUACAUACAUUGCUAAUAUCUGACAAAACUUCGCUAGCACUGUGCCAAAAGAUAUAUCUUCGAAUAUCUCUCGAAGUGAGAUGCAGAACAACCACUUGUCCGACUCGAUCCCGACAUAUCAGACUGGGCUAUUGGUGUUGAUGGUGUAGAAUAACCAACUCUCGGGAGAGCUACCUGUCAACAGAAGCAAUCUCCACAUGCUUUCUGAAUUGUCACUAAGUGCGAACAAGAUAUCUGGAUCCAUACCAACAUCAAUUGAAUUGUUGCAGAAUCUCAAAUCACUUGACCUCAGCAACAAUCGUAUAUCAGGUGCAAUACCGGCAUAGAGCAGUGAGAUUAUUUCAUCACUGGUAAUCCUUGAUUUGUCCAACAACGAGAUAACAUGCAAUAUUCCGCCUGACUUUGGCAACCAUUCAAUUGCAUCCCUCAGUUUGUCAUUUAUGACCAACUCAAUGGGAAGAUGCCCCUCUCUCUACAAAGUACAAUUGUGGCUUCCUUCGAAACCGUGGGCUUUGUGCUAAGUGGGGAUCGAGGAUAAAUCUCCCAAAAUGCCAUGGAGGCACCCACCUCUAGAAGCAUAUGAUAAUCUUGUUAGUGCUCGGUGUCACUGUCAUCACUUGCAUGAGCAUCAUCAUACGGUUGCUCUUCCAGCAUCAGAAGAACACACAAGUGCUGAAAGAAGUUGUGACUGAUUAGAAAAUGACACCAUUCACACCUUUGGACUUCAUGGAAUCCGGCAUGCUCAACAACAUAUUUGAGGAGAACAUUAUCAGCAGUGGAGGGUCUGGGAAGGUGUACCGUGUCCACCACCCUAGCCUUCAUGGUCUCAUUGAGGAUCGCAGCAGCAGAAUAAUGGUUGUUAAGAAGGUAUGCAACAUGAGAAAUCUACACCACAAGCAGUCUGACUCGGAGGUGAAGACAUUGGGGAGCAUCAAUCACAAGAACAUGAUCAAGUUGCUUUGCAGCAUCUCCAGCUAAGAUGCCAAGCUGCUUGUUUACGAACACAUGAAGAAGGGCAGCCUCGACGACUGGCUGCACCAUCAUGACCGCAAGGGCGCCCCUGCACCAUUGGACUGGCUGACAAGGCUAACCAUUGCUAUUGAUGCAUCCAGGGGCCUCAACUACAUCCACAAAGAGUGCAGACAGGCUAUUAUCCAUCGGGACAUCAAGUCAGGCAACAUUUUGUUUGACCCAGAGUUCCAUGCCAAGAUCGCCGACUUUAGGCUUGCCCGAAUGGUUGUCAACCCACGCCAGUCCCACCACAGGUCAGCCAUUUUUGGGACACACGGGUACAUGGCCCCUGAUGAGAAUCUCAAAUCCAGCAAGGCAUCUCAAACGUUUCUGUUGAGAUCUAACUGAUUGCAAAUUUUGCAAAAUACUAUUAGUACAAUGGAGGGGCAAGCUCUAGAGGGCCGAUAUCUAUAGUUUUGGUGUGGUUCUACUAGAGCUAACAACCGACAUGGUUGCUGAGGGCGUUGGAGGAGGAGAAAGCCUGGCUGAAUGGGCAUUGAAGGUAUUACAGGAUCCCUCUUUAACGAAAGACAAAAUCAUCAAACAUAUCCGUGACUCGGUCCAUUGAGAGGAUAUUUUUAUGGUGUUGAAACUCGUGUUCCCUACACGAGUCCUUAAGCAUAUCUAUGGCCAAGCAUGAAGCGCGUCCUUACCCAGUUCAUGCUCAUCCAAUGCGACCGGAGGCAUGUGUGUACAGAGGCUGGGGCUGAGACCAUGUUGCGGAGGAGCGUGUCCGAGAGGGGCACCAACAGCAGUCGGUAUGGCCGCCGGCGCAACUCUGUAGCGCAUACAUGGAUGAGUUAUUAAGAACAGGUGGAUCAUGUUGCCGCUGGUGAUCACUUGGCUCCUUGUCUGUCUAACCAGGAGAUGGUAUGGCUUGCGUCGCUGCGCCAGCGUAUCAUGUGAGCGGCCGUAACACUGGAUAUUUUCCUGUCUAACCAGCAGAUGGUAUGGCUCGCGUCACUGCGCCAGCUACAGUUGCGUUCGGCAUUCACGUGACCAUGUCCUAGAUGAGUUUGGGCUUGUAGAAUGCACAUCAAUAAUUGUGUUUGCUUUUCUUUUUCUGAUAAUAGUGUAGUGGAGUGGGGCAGUGACGCAGUGGAGGAGUUCAUUUCUUCAGUCCAAGAUGUUGUAGCUAGCUUGUGACUUGACGCCUUUGCCAAAUGAUUGCCUAGCGAUAGCAAAUUAAACAAUGUCGCAACGAUACUAAGGUACUUCAAAAAAAUCCAGUCUCCUUAUCAAACGAA